CAGGAAUUAGUUUAAUUAAAAUAUUAAUUUUGGAGAUUAAUGAUAUGAGAAUUCUUAUUCCUGA
Molecule: transfer RNA, 64 nt
Filed under: Palaestes abruptus
Lineage: Eukaryota; Metazoa; Arthropoda; Insecta; Coleoptera; Cucujidae
Description: tRNA-Pro
Source: RNAcentral